Molecule: ribosomal RNA, 421 nt
Filed under: uncultured bacterium
Lineage: Bacteria
Description: partial 16S ribosomal RNA
Rfam family: Bacterial small subunit ribosomal RNA
Source: RNAcentral
AAUAUUGGACAAUGGGGGCAACCCUUAUCCAGCCAUGCCGCGUGUGUGAAGAAGGUCUUCGGAUUGUAAAGCACUUUAAGUUGGGAGGAAGGGCUUUAGUGUAAUACCCUGAAGUUUUGACGUUACGAACAGAAUAAGCACCGUCUAACUCUGUGCCCGCAGGCGCGGUAAUACAGAGGGUGCAAGAGUUAAUCUGAAUUACUGGGCGUAAAGCGCGCGUAGGUGGUUCAGUAAGAUGGGUGUGAACUCCCCGGGCUUAACCUGGGAACUGCUUUCAUAACUGAUGAGCUAGAGUACGGUAGAGGGUAGUGGAAUUUCCUGUGUAGCGGUGAAAUGCGUAGAUAUAGGAAGGAACACCAGUGGCGAAGGCGACUACCUGGACUGAUACUGACACUGAGGUGCGAAAGCGUGGGGAGCAAAC